GACGAACGCUGGCGGCGUGCCUAAUACAUGCAAGUCGAGCGCAGGAAACUGACGGAACUCUUCGGAGGGAAGGCAGUGGAAUGAGCGGUGGACGGGUGAGUAACACGUAAGGAACCUGCCUCAAGGAUUGGGAUAACUCCGAGAAAUCGGAGCUAAUACCGGAUAGUUCAACGGACCGCAUGGUCCGUUGAUGAAAGGCGCUCCGGCGUCACCUUGAGAUGGCCUUGCGGUGCAUUAGCUAGUUGGUGGGGUAACGGCUCACCAAGGCGACGAUGCAUAGCCGACCUGGGAGGGUGAUCGGCCACACUGGGGCUGAGACACGGCCCAGACUCCUACGGGAGGCAGCAGUAGGGAAUCUUCCACAAUGGACGAAAGUCUGAUGGAGCAACGCCGCGUGAGUGAUGAAGGUUUUCGGAUCGUAAAACUCUGUUGUAAGGGAAGAACACGUACGAGAGGAAAUGCUCGUACCUUGACGGUACCUUACGAGAAAGCCACGGCUAACUACGUGCCAGCAGCCGCGGUAA
This 524-nucleotide ribosomal RNA is filed under the name uncultured bacterium. RNAcentral's name for it is "partial 16S ribosomal RNA". It matches the Rfam family "Bacterial small subunit ribosomal RNA", at positions 28 to 523 of the family's 1533-position model. The record is from RNAcentral.